Molecule: small nucleolar RNA, 65 nt
Organism: Tachyglossus aculeatus (Australian echidna)
Lineage: Eukaryota; Metazoa; Chordata; Mammalia; Monotremata; Tachyglossidae
Product: small nucleolar RNA SNORD58
Exons: 1
Source: RefSeq, a predicted model, not a curated record
UGGCGGUGAUGACAAUCUUAGGACACCUUUGGAAUAACAAUGAAAGCAAUCAUCGACUGAGCCGU